GAUGAACGCUGGCGGCGUGCCUAAUACAUGCAAGUCGAGCGAACGGACGAGAAGCUUGCUUCUCUGAUGUUAGCGGCGGACGGGUGAGUAACACGUGGAUAACCUACCUAUAAGACUGGGAUAACUUCGGGAAACCGUAGCUAAUACCGGAUAAUAUUUUGAACCGCAUGGUUCAAAAGUGAAAGACGGUCUUGCUGUCACUUAUAGAUGGAUCCGCGCUGCAUUAGCUAGUUGGUAAGGUAACGGCUUACCAAGGCAACGAUGCAUAGCCGACCUGAGAGGGUGAUCGGCCACACUGGAACUGAGACACGGUCCAGACUCCUACGGGAGGCAGCAGUAGGGAAUCUUCCGCAAUGGGCGAAAGCCUGACGGAGCAACGCCGCGUGAGUGAUGAAGGUCUUCGGAUCGUAAAACUCUGUUAUUAGGGAAGAACAUAUGUGUAAGUAACUGUGCACAUCUUGACGGUACCAAAUCAGAAAGCCACGGCUAACUACGUG
RNAcentral lists this ribosomal RNA (497 nucleotides) under uncultured bacterium. RNAcentral's name for it is "partial 16S ribosomal RNA". It matches the Rfam family "Bacterial small subunit ribosomal RNA", at positions 28 to 507 of the family's 1533-position model. The record is from RNAcentral.